GACGAACGCUGCCGGCGUGCUUAACUCAUGCAAGUCGAACGGAAAGGCCCUGCUUUUGUGGGGUGCUCGAGUGGCGAACGGGUGAGUAACACGUGAGUAACCUGCCCUUGACUUUGGGAUAACUUCAGGAAACUGGGGCUAAUACCGGAUAGGCGCUCCUGCUGCAUGGUGGGGGUUGGAAAGUUUCGGCGGUUGGGGAUGGACUCGCGGCUUAUCAGCUUGUUGGUGGGGUAGUGGCUUACCAAGGCUUUGACGGGUAGCCGGCCUGAGAGGGUGACCGGCCACAUUGGGACUGAGAUCCGGCCCAGACUCCUACGGGAGGCAGCAGUGGGGAAUAUUGCACAAUGGGCGGAAGCCUGAUGCAGCAACGCCGCGUGCGGGAUGACGGCCUUCGGGUUGUAAACCGCUUUCGCCUGUGACGAAGCGUGAGUGACGGUAAUGGGUAAAGAAGCACCGGCUAACUACGUG
This 468-nucleotide ribosomal RNA is filed under the name uncultured bacterium. RNAcentral describes it as "partial 16S ribosomal RNA". It matches the Rfam family "Bacterial small subunit ribosomal RNA", at positions 28 to 507 of the family's 1533-position model. The record is from RNAcentral.